Molecule: ribosomal RNA, 468 nt
Filed under: uncultured bacterium
Lineage: Bacteria
Description: partial 16S ribosomal RNA
Rfam family: Bacterial small subunit ribosomal RNA
Source: RNAcentral
GACGAACGCUGGCGGCGUGCUUAACACAUGCAAGUCGAACGGAAAGGCCCUGCUUUUGUGGGGUGCUCGAGUGGCGAACGGGUGAGUAACACGUGAGUAACCUGCCCUUGACUUUGGGAUAACUUCAGGAGACUGGGGCUAAUACCGGAUAGGAGCUCCUGCUGCAUGGUGGGGGUUGGAAAGUUUCGGCGGUUGGGGAUGGAUUCGCGGCUUAUCAGCUUGUUGGGGGGGUAGGGGCUUACCAAGGCUUUGACGGAUAGCCGGCAUGAGAGGGGGACCGGCCACAUUGGGCCUGAGGUACGGACCAGAAUCCUACGGGAGGCAGCAGUGGGGAAUAUUGCACAAUGGGCGGAAGCCUGAUGCAGCAACGCCGCGUGCGGAAUGACGGCCUUCGGGUUGUAAACCGCUUUCGCCGGUGACGAAGAGUGAGUGACGGUAAUGGGUAAAGAAGCACCGGCUAACUACGUG